This 230-nucleotide ribosomal RNA is filed under the name uncultured bacterium. RNAcentral's name for it is "partial 16S ribosomal RNA". It matches the Rfam family "Bacterial small subunit ribosomal RNA", at positions 118 to 347 of the family's 1533-position model. The record is from RNAcentral.
UGGGGAACAUGACCUUCGGCGGGGGAUAGCCGGCCCAACGGCCGGGUAAUACCGCGUACGACCACAUGGGGACAUCCCUGAGUGGUGAAAGCAGCAAUGCGCCGAUGGAGUGCCUCGCGGCCUAUCAGCUAGUUGGUGAGGUAACGGCUCACCAAGGCGACGACGGGUAGCUGGUCUGAGAGGAUGGCCAGCCACAUUGGAACUGAGAUACGGUCCAGACUCCGUAGGAG